GGAGUUCCCUGGAGAAGGGGGCUGGCUUAGGGCCCUCGCAGGGGUCCGGAGACCUCUCCUGGUCGGGCUGGGAGCUGCUUUUGGCCUUGUCUGGGCCGGGCACAGUACCUGUGGGCAGAGAUGGGGUAGCCACGGGGCCCCACCCUUGCCCUUGGCAACUCAGGAACUAAGGCUGGGUAAAUGCAGUGUGAGCACCAGAGCAGGGAGGGGCUCUGGGCAGCAGGGCCAGGGUGUGUGAAGGCCCCAGGGCCCGAAGGAGCUGCGGUAGUGGUGGGUAUGGGGAAGCUGGAGCCAGGUUCCGCCUGGGCAGCAUCUGCUCCCCAGUGGGGCUGAGGCUCUGUUCCUCCCUCUGGCCUCCCCAGGCUGGCUCAGGCGUGGGCAGCUGUCAGGGGGCAGGGAAGAGAAAGGGGUCAGGCAGAGUGCUGACUCACUGCUUUGCCUGGGGUCCUGAGACCCCCUCCUCUGGGCCUCAAGAAGCCACAGAACUCCCACCCCCGGCACAGAGCUGUGCCCACCCUCAGGAUGGAGGCGCCUGGACCAUCCCAGAAGAGGGCCAGGGCUGCCGAGGGGCCGUGAGACUAGGGGGACGCUCAGGACGCCCCUCUCUCAGGCUGGAGUUGCAACUCCCUCGGGUGGGGGCUGGGAGACCUGCUGUUAGUGGGGAGCCGUUUGGUGCUGUUGCAUUAGAUGGAGGUCCAUUCACACUGACCCCGCAGCUCCGGCCAGCAGAGCCUCCCACGGCCAGCUCCGGACGCCGACACCUUCUCUCACUGGGGCCAGGCCUAUGCUUGGCAGGGACACCAGGCAGGGCCACAGGCCACGGCCUGUCUCUAGCCAAGGGCAAGGCUAGCUGUGCCCCGGGGUCAGCCUGUGUCAGGCCGGGUCUGGGACCCUGCAGGGAGCAAGGUUCUCAGUCAGCCACAUUGUGGUCACCUUCUGACGAGCUCUGUCCUGUUAGAACUGUACCAGGCCAGUCCUCAGGGGCAGACGCUGAGACGGGGUUUGGGUUGCAGAGUGAGUACUGGUGAUCAGCACCUGGGAAGGGGUGGGGAGGGUGCAGGGCCGGGCAGGGACUGUAGGGGCGGCUUGCGUUAGGCUUGGCUGGCACAGCCUUUGUGGCUUGCUUGGACCCAUAUGCGGCCGCCCAGGGAUGGGAGACCCUGGUGAGGUGUCUGUGGCCCAAGCCCACCCUGAAGGAGCUGUGGGGCCGACUGCCAACCACGCCAGACAGCAAGGCCUUCUCAGGUCUCCUGCUUCCCUCUAGGCCGGCCUGACUCAGCUCACCUCAUUCUCAACCUCACCAAUCAACAUCAAUCACAGAGCGUCUGAAAGGAGGGAUUUUCAUUUUCCUUUAAAGUGAAAAGGUAAAAACUGCACUUACUAAGCCAGGCCGGUGGGGGCUCUGUGAGCCCCUCUGCACAGGAAGCCUCAGAGAUGCCGCAUGGUGUUCCCGGGGCAUCCUGGCCAAGGUGGGAGAAUGCUGCCGGGCUCGUUGGGACCCCCAGCCUCCGUGAGGGCCUGUGGGAUGCCCUCAGGGGCCGCCCCCUGGUUCUCGUGCCGUGGAGGCAGCAGACGAUGCCGGCCCACAUCCUUGUCGGGCAGAGGGGCUGCCGACUGGCCCCUGGCCGUGGCUCUUGCUGGGAGCUGCGUGGCCUGGGCUUGGACCCGCAUCCCCCUCUUGCUGGCUGCCUGCUCUUGCCAGUGGCUGAGCCUGGCUUCUCCCAUGACAGUGGCCGCAGACAGAGGGGACCCAUGCCACCAGGCAGGGUGAGCUCAGGGAACGCCAGUUCUCCUCUCCCCUGGCUCUGAGGGGUUCAGCGGUGCCCUUGGUGUGUCUGGGGGAUUUUGGGAAGUCCCAGGUCUGGGCUCUGGGUCAGGAAGCAGGAGCAAGGAGAGACACUGCACCCAGUCCUCCCCAGCUGCAGGAAAUGGGGACAGAAAAGCUAAGCGGACGGAAGAUGCAUUGUGCGCAAGCUACAGGAGGCCGGCCCAGCCCCGGUGGCUGCCGGGAUGUGAUCAUUGGCAGGGAUGAGAUUGACAGGGACGGUCAGCUGGAGAGGACAGGGCACAGCUGGACGAGGGCAGGGACGGCCACAGGCUUCCCACAGGGCGGAAGGGAAAGGCUUCCAGUCCCACUCGUAAGGGCUGCCUGCCACCCUGUAGCCACUGUCUCCUCCCUUGUGGACGGGACGAUGGUGGCACCUUUGUUAUGGUUGGGUUAACAUAUAUAUGUUAACAAUGUGUUAACCCCAGCGUGUGGGGAGGACUAGAUGGGAGAGGUCCCUAGUGCCGAGGCUCCCAGCCUUGCUCGGACCCUGGGAGCCAUCACCACCUGCACUGUGCUCCUCCCACAGGUGUCUGGGGGUGAGGUGAGAGUUCUGCCAAAGCUGGAGCCAGGGUUGGACCCCCGGAGCUCCUUGGUCGGCCCCUGGAGGGAGAGUGGUGUGUUUGCACCACAGCCCCGGUGGCCCAGCUCUGCCCAUCUUCAUCCCAGGUGGCAGCUGCUGCCCAGCUCUCUGGCCGGUGCCUCUUAGAUGGUGUCACCAUCUGCAGAAGAAAACAGAAGUGCUGACUGAUAUUUGGUGAAGGCCUGCUAUGCUGGCGGCACCUGAUGCAGCAGGUGAAGUCCGGGGGGCAGCGGCCAAGGCUCCCUGUCCCUCAGUGUCCCUGCCCGUGAAACGGGCAUAGCUAACUCCUGUGGCCACCUUGAGGACGGAUUCUCACUCAUUCUGUCACCCAUGCUGGAGUGCAGCGGCAUGAUCUCGGCUACUGCAACCUCUGCCUCCCGGGAUCCAGCGAUUCUCGUGACUCAGCCUCCUGAGUAGCUGGGAAUACUGGCUUGCGCUACCACAGCUGGCUGAUUUUUGAAUUUUUAGUAGAGACGGGGUUUUACCAUUUUGGCUGGGCUGGUCUCGAACUCCUGGGCUCAAGUGAUCCACCUGCCUUGGCCUCCCAGAGUGCUGGGAUUACAGGUGUCAGCCACCGCGCCCAGCUUACUUAUCAGUUAGAGGGAAAAGUGGUAACUUUACUGUGAGAAACUUGUGGAUGCCAGUUUAACCAGAGGAUCAAAGGUACCAUUGCUGCUGGUGGGCAGUCAGCGUCCCAAGCGCUGGGAAGGACGCCUGGCUCUUGUGCCGAUCUGUUCAUGCAGAAAUGUCAGGAACACUCAACGCAGGGACAAUCUACAAAACAACCAGUUUGCAUUCUUCAAAAGUUUCAGUGUCAUAAAAGAUUUUUAAAAAGACAGGUCCAAUGUAUAUACUGCGAAAAUAGUAAAACAAUAAAAUAUAAAAGUAAAAAGACUGAACUAACCUUGUCUUUACAUUGAUGUGGAGUCAACCGCUGCUUCCAGUUGUGGAGGAGUAGCUGCUGCCAGGAGAAAGGACUACAAUGUACAAUAAUGCCUACUCUACACUCAUCUAAUGAAAGUUCAGACCAAGCCCCACAGAGAUCUGCAGGGGAGACUGAGAUUGAGGGUUGAAUCUUACCAAGGUAGCAGGACUUGGGAAACACUUUGGGCUUUCCACAUCAACACU
Symphalangus syndactylus (siamang) is the source of this 3536-nucleotide long non-coding RNA. RefSeq lists it as uncharacterized. The record is from RefSeq and is a predicted model, not a curated record. NCBI's taxonomy places the organism in Eukaryota, Metazoa, Chordata, Mammalia, Primates, Hylobatidae.